Molecule: long non-coding RNA, 941 nt
Filed under: Mus spicilegus (steppe mouse)
Lineage: Eukaryota; Metazoa; Chordata; Mammalia; Rodentia; Muridae
Description: lncRNA (ENSMSIG00000023053.1)
Source: RNAcentral
GCAGGAGUCUUUAGAACAUCUGUUUUAUGGAGGAUUCUAAGGCUAUAGUGUUCAUCAAGUAGGUACAACAGAAGACUAGGAAUCAACACCAAGUUUUGCACUGCGCUAACUGCCUGAAAUACUUUGUGGCUUCAUGAGAGACAUACUUCUUCAGAAACCAAUCACAGGAAGCAGAGGGAAGAGAGACCAAGCAGCAUCAGAAAGCAGGCAUGGAGUGGCUUUGCCACUGCCAUCUUUAGAAGACAGACCUUGCCUCUCAGAGCAGACUCGGCUCUCUGAGAUCCUUUCCAGACUGAGGGAUUCUCGUCCUGACUUAAUGGAUUAACCUAAGCUCCAGGAUUUAAUCAAGGAAAGGAGGCCAGCAGGAAAAAGACAAUCAGCUCGGCAGGUGAUGGAGCCCAAAGUCAUUUGCAUUAGAGAGGUUUGGUCCAAGCUCUUUCAGGAGGGAGAUGAAAAUGAGGUGCUUUGUUAGUUCAGGAGCGGUCCCCUUCCAACAGCAAGCUUGAAGGAAGCUCCUUUGAGGAUUUAUUCUGUUAAGCCAUCAAUAUUUCGAAUCAUCUGUGCUCAUGGACUAUUGGGAAAACCUUAACUGACCAGAAAGAGGCUGUGGAUAUUGUCUCAGAGCAUCUUGAACCCUUCCGAGAUGACUGGUCUUAACCUUGCCUCCACCCCGCCCCCUGCAGACUCCAGCUUUUAUGAGACAGGGCCGGUCUGUUGCUAGAGGUCAGGCAGCACCAGACUAUAAAGUUUUAGUAAUUUCAGAAUCUCACUAGAGCACCUCCUCCUAAGAUUUUGACCAUGGACACCUGGGUGACCUCUUCAAUUGUGCACUUGGGAGCUUUUUGCCUGUAAUUUAAGCAAACGGAGAAACAAAGGUCCCCUGCUGCAUUGCAAAAAUUGAAAUGGACAAAGAACUGUUGAUUGUAAUUCUUCAACCUGGG